UACGUAGGGUGCAAGCGUUAAUCGGAAUUAUUGGGCGUAAAGCGCGCGCAGGCGGUUUCUUAAGUCUGAUGUGAAAGCCCACGGCUUAACCGUGGAAGGUCAUUGGAAACUGGGAGACUUGAGUGCAGAAGAGAAGAGCGGAAUUCCACGUGUAGCGGUGAAAUGCGUAGAGAUGUGGAGGAACACCAGUGGCGAAGGCGGCUCUUUGGUCUGUAACUGACGCUGAGGCGCGAAAGCGUGGGGAUCAAACAGG
This 253-nucleotide ribosomal RNA is filed under the name uncultured bacterium. Its description in RNAcentral is "partial 16S ribosomal RNA". It matches the Rfam family "Bacterial small subunit ribosomal RNA", at positions 524 to 776 of the family's 1533-position model. The record is from RNAcentral.